RNAcentral lists this ribosomal RNA (371 nucleotides) under uncultured organism. RNAcentral describes it as "partial 16S ribosomal RNA". It matches the Rfam family "Bacterial small subunit ribosomal RNA", at positions 527 to 896 of the family's 1533-position model. The record is from RNAcentral.
GUAGGUGGCAAGCGUUGUCCGGAAUUAUUGGGCGUAAAGCGCGCGCAGGUGGUUCUUUAAGUCUGAUGUGAAAGCCCACGGCUCAACCGUGGAGGGUCAUUGGAAACUGGAGAACUUGAGUACAGAAGAGGAAAGCGGAAUUCCACGUGUAGCGGUGAAAUGCGUAGAGAUGUGGAGGAACACCAGCGGCGAAGGCGGCUUUCUGGUCUGUAACUGACGCUGAGGCGCGAAAGCGUGGGGAGCAAACAGGAUUAGAUACCCUGGUAGUCCACGCCGUAAACGAUGAGUGCUAAGUGUUAGGGGGUUUCCGCCCCCCUUAGUGCUGCAGCUAACGCAUUAAGCACUCCGCCUGGGAUACGGCCGCAAGGCUG